Molecule: non-coding RNA, 106 nt
Organism: Acanthosepion pharaonis
Lineage: Eukaryota; Metazoa; Mollusca; Cephalopoda; Sepiida; Sepiidae
Source: the annotation of a GenBank genome assembly
AUGGCCAUAUCACAUGAAAACACCGGUUCUUGUCUGAUCACCAAAGUUAAGCAGUGUUAAGUCUAGUCAGUACUUAGAUGGGUGACUGCUUUAGAAUACCAGGUGC